This 19-nucleotide ribosomal RNA is filed under the name Amylostereum chailletii. Its description in RNAcentral is "partial 28S ribosomal RNA". Lineage: Eukaryota; Fungi; Basidiomycota; Agaricomycetes; Russulales; Stereaceae. The record is from RNAcentral.
CAGGUGGGACUACCCGCUG